This 417-nucleotide ribosomal RNA is filed under the name uncultured bacterium. Its description in RNAcentral is "bacterial SSU rRNA". It matches the Rfam family "Bacterial small subunit ribosomal RNA", at positions 42 to 462 of the family's 1533-position model. The record is from RNAcentral.
UCAGGCCUACACAUGCAAGUCGAGCGGAUGAGUGGAGCUUGCUCCAUGAUUCAGCGGCGGACGGGUGAGUAAUGCCUAGGAAUCUGCCUGGUAGUGGGGGAUAACGUUUCGAAAGGAACGCUAAUACCGCAUACGUCCUACGGGAGAAAGUGGGGGAUCUUCGGACCUCACGCUAUCAGAUGAGCCUAGGUCGGAUUAGCUAGUUGGUGGGGUAAUAGCCCACCAAGGCGACGAUCCGUAACUGGUCUGAGAGGAUGAUCAGUCACACUGGAACUGAGACACGGUCCAGACUCCUACGGGAGGCAGCAGUGGUGAAUAUUGGACAAUGGGCGAAAGCCUGAUCCAGCCAUGCCGCGUGUGUGAAGAAGGUCUUCGGAUUGUAAAGCACUUGAAGUUGGGAGGAAGGGCAGUAAGUUA